This 495-nucleotide ribosomal RNA is filed under the name uncultured bacterium. Its description in RNAcentral is "partial 16S ribosomal RNA". It matches the Rfam family "Bacterial small subunit ribosomal RNA", at positions 29 to 506 of the family's 1533-position model. The record is from RNAcentral.
AUGAACGCUGGCGGCGUGCCUAAUACAUGCCAGUCGAGCGAACAGACGAGGAGCUUGCUCCUCUGACGUUAGCGGCGGACGGGUGAGUAACACGUGGAUAACCUACCUAUAAGACUGGGAUAACUUCGGGAAACCGGAGCUAAUACCGGAUAACAUAUUGAACCGCAUGGUUCAAUAGUGAAAGACGGUUUUGCUGUCACUUAUAGAUGGAUCCGCGCCGCAUUAGCUAGUUGGUAAGGUAACGGCUUACCAAGGCAACGAUGCGUAGCCGACCUGAGAGGGUGAUCGGCCACACUGGAACUGAGACACGGUCCAGACUCCUACGGGAGGCAGCAGUAGGGAAUCUUCCGCAAUGGGCGAAAGCCUGACGGAGCAACGCCGCGUGAGUGAUGAAGGUCUUCGGAUCGUAAAACUCUGUUAUUAGGGAAGAACAAAUGUGUAAGUAACUAUGCACGUCUUGACGGUACCUAAUCAGAAAGCCACGGCUAACUACGU